This 2889-nucleotide long non-coding RNA is filed under the name Solanum tuberosum (potato). RNAcentral's name for it is "long non-coding RNA (STUB_LNC004782)". Lineage: Eukaryota; Viridiplantae; Streptophyta; Magnoliopsida; Solanales; Solanaceae. The record is from RNAcentral.
UCAUGAAAGUUGAAGAGUAUCUACGAAUUCAAGUUUGUAUCCUCGAUUGAAGUGAACUUGAAAUUCUUUUUAUGAAAUUGAGGUUAGUUUAUUAAGCAAGGAACUAAAAUUCAUCCUUGAAUUUUAGAAUUAUGGAUUGUGUAUAUAGUAUAUACUAUGUAGUUGUACACUGUUUUAGUUUUGAUUUUGGUUUUCUAGGAUAUGAACUGAAAUUCAUCUUUGCUCAUUCUACUGUGAUGAAAUUCAGUUGGAAAGUUGAAUACCACUUCUUAUUACAUAUAAUCGAAUUAGAGGUUAUGUUAAAUUCCCAUUGUUGACGAUACCAGGAGCUUCAUCUUGAGUUGGGAAAACUAAACUAUGAGUUGAGUGAAAUAGCUUCUCUAAUUGUCAUUGGAGUUCUAAUUCAUUGUUUCUUAUAUAUAAUGGAAUGAUGAAUAAAAAAAAAUCUGAAAAACAGAGGAUCAAAAAUUUAGUGUUGAUUUUCGAAGGGAAAUGAUUAUUGAACGAUCUGAAAAACAGAGGGUCAAAAAUUUACUGUUGAUUUUUUAAGGGAAAUGAUUAUUGAACGAUCUGAAAAACAGAGGGUCAAAAAUUUAGUGUUGAUUUUCGAAGGGAAAUGAUUAUUGAACGAUCUGAAAAACAGAGGGUCAAAAAUUUAGUGUUGAUUUUCGAAGGGAAAUGAUUAUUGAACGAUCUGAAAAACAGAGGGUCAAAAACAUAAUCAAUUGAUAGCUUCUUAAACUUAGAGCUGAGAAUUCAUUAACAGCAUUUGUUUGAGAAUUGAUUAAUUGCUUCUGUUUCAUAAUUGGUUAAUGCUUCUGAAACUUGGAGUUGAGAAUUGAUUAAUAGCUUUUGAAAUUUACUUUUAAAAUGGUGCUUUGUAAGACUAUGAUUAGUUGAGUGAAAAUUCCUUUUUUCAGUUUAUCCGAAAGAAACUAUUAGUUUAGUGAUCAUUUGAGAAAUCUUCUCAAUCUAGCAUAUUCUACGCCAUCUUUUGACUAGUGUGAGAAACAUAUCUUCUUCAAUUAUUGUAGAAACUCAUCUUAUGGAUGUAAAAUGGAUACGCGGGUUCAAUAAAGAUGUAGUUUUUUCUUAUACUGUCAUACAUAUUCACAAAAUCAAACAAUAAAACAACCUAUAGAGCCUACAACCUGAAUAAGAUAAAAUGAUUUUUUUGUCUAGCAGUAACAAGAUAAAGUAGUGGAAAAUUUCAAUAGCAUAUAACAGUGAUCAUCGUUCUUGACAUUAUAUUUGUUGUUGAAAAUAAUUUAUCUUCCUAGUCUACCUUCAUUAUUUUUUAUUAAUACUAUUCUACUGACUUCUACAAUAGAGUGACUAUGACUAUCACUUAUAUUUGGUAUAUUUUUAUGUAUUAGUUUCUAUAUAUUACCAUGUUCUUUGUUUCACCUUCCCACUGUUCUAUUAAUGGUUACUGUUAUACAUCAUAUUCAUUCUUACGAAAUUUUAUGUAUCCUUUCUUUCGAAGUUUCUAAUAAUGAAAACUUUUGGAAAGAAUUAAGUCUGUUUUCGUUAUUUACUUGACUAGUGUAGUACACAUACAAGACUCCAUAUAUGUCAUAUCUCCAUAUUCUCUUAAUAAGGGUCUAUACGACUAACAACAACAAACAAAAUAUAUUUCGUAGUAAGAUAGUAACUACGGCUCCAGAGAAGUUCACCCUUUUCAUAGUAAGAUAGUAACUACGGCUCCAGAGAAGUUCACCCGCUAUUUGUUUACACAACUCUUAGUUACACUUAGAGAAAUUGAAUUUUUUUGAGAUAAUAUGAGGGGUAACACAACACACAUAUAUUCUCAUAUUGUGAUGAUUAUGAAUUUCAACUUUAAAUAAAUCUAGUUAGUUGAAUAACAUCUCAGAAUAUUCCAACAUUCUCAUAUUGUGAUGAUUAUGAAUUUCAACUAACACACAUAUAUCUUAUGUUGGAUAUUUACCGGUGGAACAAGUAUGAUUUUACUUCAACUUUUCUUCUUUAUCAUUUGUACUUAUUUCAAUAUUGAAUGAGUUUUAUAACAUAAGAAUACCAAUAUUUUAUUUGAAUGAGCGGAGGAAGAAGGUGUUGGUUGUAAAAGUGUGAAGUUUUAUACUUUUUCUGUAGCUCUAUGUAAUCUUCCUUUUUCUCUAUUCUGCUCAAUUUUUUCCCCUGUUGUGCUGUAUUUUUUCUUUGAUUUUUCUGUUUUUUCAGUAUUGGUUAUGAAUUUAUUUUUCUUGAAGUGAAACAUUAUAGUGCUAGACAGCAGUGUGUCCACUCACUAUGAGAUCUGAAAGGUGCAUUUCUCUUGAUAAUACAAUAAUUAUUUUAUCUGGUGAAGAAAAUAGACUCUAAAAUAUUUGAAUUACCAUUGCUCAUUUUCUUAUAAGAAUUAGACUUGAAUAUUUCAUUUGAUUUUAUUUCCUGAUUGUAUAUACAAAUGUGGUGUUGAUAUGUACAGGUUCAAGAUGAUAGUCCAUGUUUAUUCUUCACCAGUUACAAGGCAAAUGGUCCAAGUUGAGUGAAGUUGAUUAAUGUUACACGGUGAAUAGUCCAACCAGCCUCUUACACCAGAGUAUGAUAUGUUCGUGUAGACAAAUUAAUGCAAAAUAUGUUCAAUUUUCUGCUUAGUGCCACAAAAGUGUGUAUUUCCUAGACUGCCAGUUGAUCUAUUUUUUGGAUUCCAACUGAUAUAUUAGUUGACUCAGUUUGAAAUGUACUGUUGUUUGACUAGUACAACCAAUAUAUUAGAUAUAUAGUUGUAGAAUGUGGAGUUUAAAUUAUAUGAAUAUAUUAGAGGUAAGGUAUGUCCCCCUCGUUGAAUUUUGACAUGUUAAUGAAAUUUGCAUCAGGUUCUGUAAUGUUGGAAUCUUGAUGUAUUUUAUGAAAGUUUGAUGUUAGUGA